Molecule: non-coding RNA, 419 nt
Organism: Camellia sinensis
Lineage: Eukaryota; Viridiplantae; Streptophyta; Magnoliopsida; Ericales; Theaceae
Source: RefSeq, a predicted model, not a curated record
UGGCUGGUUACAGAGAGGGUAAAAAGACAUUGGGAGAAAUACAAAUCAAUGCUUGAUGAUGCAGAAGCCAUGAAAGUAGAAAUUGAUGGAGAACUUUCUUCUAGCACUCAAGAGGAUGCUGCUGUAUCAGAGUUCUACCAUGUGAUCAUUUGAACACAAAUGGAGAUCAUGGUCAAUUAUGUACGUUGAAUGUGGAGAUGACUGCAUUAUGGACACUGUUGGGGUUAUUUGUGUUGACACUGAAGGACAUAUAGCAUCUGGAGCUUCACAUGGUGGCAUUGCACUGAAGGUCGCAGGCAGGUCUGGGCUCUGCUUGCAUGAAAGUUUUACGCUCUGUUAUGCCAGAUAGUAGCCAGCACGGUACUGAUAAAAGUGCCCGAACUCUAGUUGUUUAAGCCAAGGCUCCUAUAAUAGUGAGA